GAUGGCAGAGCUGGUAUCUAAGUUGGUGCUGUUUGUGUGUCUGGCUAAUAUUUGUUGGUCACCCAUUGCAGAAGCAGUUUUCAGGAAACUGUAACUGAUCAAAACAUUUCAGAGAACUGGAGGAUAGACAGCUCCGUGACAUCCAGGUAUGAGACAGGGAACUCCCCUGACUACCAGGGGCAGAGCUGCAUGCGGAGGCACAGCGUUCCCAUGAGGCCACAUUGCCUGGCAGAUUACCAAAGAUGACUUAGCCACAUUUGAUUAUAUAGUAUGUGUGGAUGAAAGCAAUCUGAGAGAUUUGAAUAGAAAAAUUAAUCAAGUUAAAAACUGCAAAGCUAAAAUUGAACUACUUGGGAGUUAUGAUCCACAAAAACAACUUAUUAUUAAAGAUCCUUAUUAUGGGAAUAACUCUGACUUCAAGAUGACAUACCAGUAAUGUGUCAGGUGCUGCAGAGCAUUCUUGGAGAAGGCCCACUGA
RNA transcript from Propithecus coquereli (Coquerel's sifaka), 478 nucleotides. It is a transcript of the gene named low molecular weight phosphotyrosine protein phosphatase pseudogene, with no coding region annotated. The transcript has a single exon. The record is from RefSeq and is a predicted model, not a curated record. Lineage: Eukaryota; Metazoa; Chordata; Mammalia; Primates; Indriidae.